UAAAGCCAUGAAAAAUAACAAAAGAUUCUCAUUUGCCACUCAAGUUAGGCUACUGAAAUUGUCAAAUCUGUAUUAACAUCCAUUAUUUAAGAGAAAACCAAAUACAAUAAAUUCACAGUAAUUCAUUGUAUUAUGAGUGUUCAGUUUGUUUCAUUAUUGCAUCACAAGCUAAUGCCAAUGACCGAUCAAUAUGAGAUUUAUGUAGAUUGUAGCUCAAUAGGUGUUGUUGCAUUAGCAAUUCAAAAGACAUGAGUUUGAUACCAUAGGAAAACACAUACUACUGAUAAAAUGUACAGAUUGAAUGCAAGUUGCUUUAGUCUGCCAAAGGUGAAUGUAAAUUACGUCCAAACUCUAUUUGAAAUAAACCAAAAUUAUGAUAUACAACAAAUAAAACUACAUCAGAUGUUCAGAUGUCCAACAACUUUUGACAUUCUUCAGUUCAAAACAAGUGAUCCUCACUAUGGCCAUGAUAAGCAGUGGAUUGAUGGAGGGUCCCAUCAGUCCAUCAUCAAGUUACUGAAGAGGAGAAGGUGGGAGAGGAAGAAUCGGGGGUUUCCCUCCUCCUUUGCCUUGCGGGAGCUUGAACUCUUUUUAAGUCGGCCACCACACCAUGGCUAAUGGCCCCCGCUGAGCCUGCUGUCUCAUUCCCCACAUCAAGCCCAUCGUCCCUAAAUCAAACCAUAGAAAAUUGGGCUUAAAAUUUUGGGGAGAGGCCCCCCAAAAAAGACCCAAAAGCUGCAUCUGUUGCCGGCUUACAUGAAAGUUGGGCUCACGAGCAGUGCUGGUCACUUCGCUGUAGAUCUGAGAUGAAAAAGGUUCAGGCUGGCUACUCUUUGCAUGCACAGCCGGUAGAAAGCAGGAUCGCGGGGACCGUGGGAGAAAUAGUUGUCGUUCGAUAUGUGUCGGCCGGUAACGCAAGAUGGAUUUGGCAUGCGAAUGGUCUUGAGGAGGGAGAGAGAGAUACACCCCCCAACUUCUGCAAACAAAGAACGGAUAAAAGGCAGAUCUCAGCAUAAACAAGAGCGGGAACGAAAUUGAUGGAGAUGUGUUCAGUGCUCUGAUGUGCAUUGUAAGGCAGACAAAGUCAAUGGAGUGAUAUCAAGAUUUUAUUCUCUUCCAUUUUGGCACCAUGGACCUGAGCAGGAAGCGGUUGGCUCCUGACCAGCAUUAUUGUGACAGCCAGGAUGUCGGUUCAGGACCUUUGGUGAAGUCGGGGUCACAGCAGACAAUCAUGCCAGCAUACAAGUGGGUUUUAGCGCGCCCCUUUCAUUCACGUGCAGAGAAAGGUGCCCCUCCCUCAGCACACAGCUUCAAUUCCUCUGGCUUCCCAAGGGAAUGCUGGCUUUCUCUAAAUAAACCUACUAUAUCUCCCACACACAUACAUACUCACACUACAGCAGGAGAGGAAAGCUUUGCGGGAUAUGACCUCGGCACUCCUGGCUACGCACAAGACCUGUGACUUCUUCUCACAGCUUGAUCCUACUGGGAGAAGGCAGGAGAUGCAUAUGUAAUCCUGCAUGAGGUGUGUGUGUGUGUGUGUGUGUGUGUGUGUGUGUGUGUGUGUGUGAGAGAGAGAGAAAGAGCGAAGGACAUUUUUUUCUUUCUUUUUCUUAAGCCCUUAUUUAACACAUGCUGUUUUUUUUACAACUAUGUUAAGGAGCAAAGAGCAAACGGUAUAAUUUUUGGUCUAACUUUGUAUCAACAGAACACAGUCAGUCCUUCUGCUGGAGACUGGAGCCAAGACUGCAUCGGCCAAGGCACACAUGGCUAAAGUUCGAGCAGGUUUUUAAAAAAUGACAGCAAAAAAAUCAUCCACUCAUUAAUGAUAUUUAUACAUAAAUUGACUUUUUUACUACACAUGCAUCAGUUCAAAAGUGGAUAAGGAAACACAUAGCUAAAUGUUAUAUUAUGUUUUAUGACGGAUGUUAUAUUUGCCUUAUUAUUUCACAAAAAAAAGCAUUUAAAAAAUACUGUUAACCACACAUCUUACGUGUGUUGAAAGAGAAUACAAUUAAGAGAAAUGUCACAAAUAAUACUGGUACUGCCUUUAGAGGGAAACUAUAACUGUAUUCUACUGCCAAUCUUGGCUAUGCAAAUAAUUUCAAUGUAAAAAAAAUUAUUGUUUUAUUCUAGCAUUAUUUCCACAAUAAGCAAUGCAUAGUAUCAGCUUUAGUUAGUCCUCAGUAUUCUCAUUUUUAAAUACUUUAAAUAAUUUAACCUAAGAAAUAAGAGUAGCAUUUCAGCUUAUUUCCAAAAUCCAACAAUGAUUGCAUUUAAUAUGCAAUAGUAUGCAACAUUCUCAAUUUGCAGAUAAAAUAUUUUGUUUUGUUUAAAUAUUUUCAUUUUCUUUUUGUACUCUAAUUAAAGAGCAUUAUCAAAGGCAAUCAAAUCAGAGGUUUACAUUUGUGUAUCAUAUACAGGUAUAUGGUGACUGUUCUGAAAAUAUGAAAACAUGGCAUUGCAUAUUUGAAUAUUGAAAGACGUGUGAACUGAAACAGAUGUGAAUCCUAACAUUUACUUAGAUGUACAUUAAUCUGACUCCCUUACAUAUGGAAUGCUGCAUGGGUAAUAGUGUACUAAUAUAUAAAGGGGAAGCUUAAUAUUUGUUUUUAAAAAGACUAUACUUCAAAUGUCAUUAAUUGAAUAAUUAUUCUUUUAUUUUAGUCUGUCAGUGCUGGACACUUAUGUAAAUGUUAUGUCAUUUGGAAAUUAAAUUAUUAUUAUUAGCCUUAAUUAAUAAAUUUAAACUUUCAACUCCGAAACUCAUAUCCUAUUAUUGACAUAUAUUACAAAUAUGUAGUGUUGUAAUAUUAAAGGUGAUGUUUACUGUUAAGGCUAACUGUACUUUGUCUAUGUGUUUGGAUGGUUGUUUGCUGUGGUUUGUCCCAUCUUUUUAAGUCUGCUUGCAGAACAGUAAAUUCCAUUAAGGAGGAGAAGCAGCUGUUGAUGCUCACAACCAACUAACUUGCUUCGCCAUCUGACCAGAUAUGCCAUCAAUGCCCUCCUGUGAGUGGAGGACUAGGAGAGCCCCUCCCAUGGGGACCAGAAUUUUUAGGUUCUGGCAUGUCCGUGGUGGGGUGAAGAGUGGUGUGACCCGCCAGGGAAGCACUCUUCACCACUCCUGUUCUCCGUAGCGACCUCACUAGACCGGACGUGAGGUAUUGGACCUCACAUUGGUCUAAAAUGGGGGACUGAAGGGACCGGUGC
Triplophysa rosa is the source of this 3207-nucleotide long non-coding RNA. RefSeq lists it as uncharacterized. Lineage: Eukaryota; Metazoa; Chordata; Actinopteri; Cypriniformes; Nemacheilidae. The transcript has 3 exons. The record is from RefSeq and is a predicted model, not a curated record.